RNAcentral lists this transfer RNA (74 nucleotides) under bioreactor metagenome. Its description in RNAcentral is "tRNA-Cys". It matches the Rfam family "tRNA". From Rfam's summary of the family: Transfer RNA (tRNA) molecules are approximately 80 nucleotides in length. Their secondary structure includes four short double-helical elements and three loops (D, anti-codon, and T loops). The record is from RNAcentral.
GGCGUGGUAGCCAAACGGUCAGGCAGCGGUCUGCAAAAUCGCAUAAAUCGGUUCAACUCCGAUCCACGCCUCCA